Molecule: ribosomal RNA, 263 nt
Filed under: uncultured archaeon
Lineage: Archaea
Description: partial 16S ribosomal RNA
Rfam family: Archaeal small subunit ribosomal RNA
Source: RNAcentral
AGACGUCUACAUUAGAUACCCGGGUAGUCCUAGCCGUAAACGAUACUCGCUAGGUGUCGGCCACGGUGCGACCGUUGUCGGUGCCGUAGGGAAGCCGUGAAGCGAGCCACCUGGGAAGUACGGCCGCAAGGCUGAAACUUAAAGGAAUUGGCGGGGAGCACCACAAGAGGUGGAGGCUGCGGUUCAAUUGGACUCAACGCCGGAAACUCAUCGGGAGCGACAGCAGUAUGAUUGCCAGGUUGAUGACCUUGCUUGACAAGCUG